GCAGCUUUGUUGUGUUCAUGACAGGAGAUAAAAUUAAAAUUUUAACUACUGCCUCAGCAAAGCCCCAGUACCCCCUCCUCCUCAGAAUCUCCUGUCUGACACACCUUGAAGGAGGAAUCUCUUUGAAGGUCCAUCAGUGAAGAAAGCUGUGGCAAUUCUUAUCAUGGCUGGACUCCAUUUUCAGAGCAAGGGAAAUUCCAGCAAAACUUCCAGACCCAUCAAGGUGGUUUAGCUCUUAUUCAUCACCCUCCUGGCAUCCAGGCUUGAAAUCCUUAAUGUGAUUAGUGCCGGGGAAACGAUUUUCAUCCUGCUCAGCUUUACUCACAGCCCCUGGUAAAGUGCAAGACCUGGUGGCUGAGGGGAGAGGGUUGACUGAAAUCUCCCCCUUUUACAGCAGAGCUGGAAUGGCAGGGCUCUGUCCCCAGAGAUCCCGUGGCACACAAAUGUCCCUUUGCUCCAUGGCAAACAGAGCCACAACAAUCACAUCCAUCCAUGGCAGGAGCACUGAGAAGAGAGAAAAGCUGGAGCUGUUGUGGCAGAAGUAGGGACAGCCAGGAGGAAUGCCUGCAAACAUCCUGACAUUGAACUUCUAAUUCCAUUUUCCGUAAGGACGCUGGCAUCUGGUGUGUUAUUAAGUAACUCGGUGGAGAUCUGUUAAAUGCAUAACCUCCCUGCACAAAGGAUACAUUCUUUUACUGCCUUUCUCCCUUUAACCCCUGCUUCCCUUUGAUACUUGCCUGCUCCACAGUUGCCAAUCAUGAUUUUGCAAACUCAGUUGAAACAUUUCAGUGGGACAAAUCACCCUGUUUUUUUCACUCCCUGCCAUCCUCAGGAGUUUACAGUCAGAACCUCCAUUGCUUUCAGCCUGAAAUUUCCCUUUGCUUUCCUGCAAAUCCUUGGAGUUGUUUUCAACAAGAUGCACCAAGGUGUUUCACCAAGAGAAAAAACAUCUGACAAAAGGUGUCCAUAUGUCUGCAACAGGGAAUCUGGCCAGCUCACAGAAACUUCCUCUCCUCCAAGAACUGCAUACUGAGGCAAAUUCCCAGCUUAUUAAAAAAUAGUUGUGUUAUUUUGCCAUCUUGUUUGUUCUGCAGUUCCACUGUAUUUCCCCCCCUCCCCCUCUCUCUUUUUUUUUUUUUUUUUUUAAUUAUGCUGUUGGCUUUUGGAGGGAAAAAAAAAGGAAAUGGAAAAGAAAAAAAAGCCAAUAAUUUUUAAACUAUAUCUUUAUUUUGGGCUGUGUGUCACUUACAAACUUUUGUAGCAAUUGAUAGGAACAUCCCAAUAUUCAGAUGCUAUUUGUCCAGUGAAGAGCUGUUUGCAUGAAGUACACAGAAGCUUCCAAAAAACCCCUAAAGAUCUUAAAGUAUGUUAUAAAGCUUCUCUUCAACUUCUGACAGAAGUGCCUUAACUUCACUGCUGCUGAAGUCUUUUCCAAAGUAAAUGAAAUCAAAACUGGAAUGGCUAAACCCUGAGUAACACUGUCCCAGAGUUUAAUGUGUUCCAAACACUCAAUUUCAAAGUUUAGCUUAGUUGUUUUAGUUUUUCUGAAUGAUUCCUAAGACAACUUUUCAAUUCAGUGCUGGAGUUUCAUUGCUUGUUUGGUUUCUUUUUUUACCCCAUUUUAUAACUUCCUAGAUUUUGAAGGUAAAAGCCAGUUAUGUUGAGAUCUGGAAAAUUGCUUCUUCAAAAUAAAGGAAAAUGUUUUGGUCUGUGGCUUCUUUCA
RNAcentral lists this long non-coding RNA (1723 nucleotides) under Cyanistes caeruleus (blue tit). RNAcentral's name for it is "lncRNA (ENSCCEG00000022424.1)". The record is from RNAcentral. Lineage: Eukaryota; Metazoa; Chordata; Aves; Passeriformes; Paridae.